This 683-nucleotide ribosomal RNA is filed under the name Alteromonas sp. L-27. RNAcentral's name for it is "bacterial SSU rRNA". It matches the Rfam family "Bacterial small subunit ribosomal RNA", at positions 195 to 864 of the family's 1533-position model. The record is from RNAcentral. Lineage: Bacteria; Pseudomonadati; Pseudomonadota; Gammaproteobacteria; Alteromonadales; Alteromonadaceae.
UUCGGACCAAACGGGGCUUUUAGCUCCGGCGCAAAGAGAGGCCCAAGUGAGAUUAGCUAGUUGGUAAGGUAACGGCUUACCAAGGCGACGAUCUCUAGCUGUUCUGAGAGGAAGAUCAGCCACACUGGGACUGAGACACGGCCCAGACUCCUACGGGAGGCAGCAGUGGGGAAUAUUGCACAAUGGGGGAAACCCUGAUGCAGCCAUGCCGCGUGUGUGAAGAAGGCCUUCGGGUUGUAAAGCACUUUCAGUUGUGAGGAAAAGUUAGUAGUUAAUACCUGCUAGCCGUGACGUUAACAACAGAAGAAGCACCGGCUAACUCCGUGCCAGCAGCCGCGGUAAUACGGAGGGUGCGAGCGUUAAUCGGAAUUACUGGGCGUAAAGCGCACGCAGGCGGUUUGUUAAGCUAGAUGUGAAAGCCCCGGGCUCAACCUGGGAUGGUCAUUUAGAACUGGCAGACUAGAGUCUUGGAGAGGGGAGUGGAAUUCCAGGUGUAGCGGUGAAAUGCGUAGAUAUCUGGAGGAACAUCAGUGGCGAAGGCGACUCCCUGGCCAAAGACUGACGCUCAUGUGCGAAAGUGUGGGUAGCGAACAGGAUUAGAUACCCUGGUAGUCCACACCGUAAACGCUGUCUACUAGCUGUGUGUGCCUUUAAGGCGUGCGUAGCGAAGCUAACGCGCUAAG